CCAGAAAGCAAUAGCUGCGAUUAAUUUGGUAUACCAGACUUUUAUGUAGGCAAGAAAUUCCCCUCUCCGGAGGAGAGGGCGCUGGGCGUUAGCCCAUGGUACAAUUCAAGGUAACUAAGAAGAGGAAAUUAAAACCUCAGAAAGCGCAAAGACAGCAAAUACUAGGUUAGACCUAUUAUUUCAUAAAGAUUUUCCCCUAAUAGUGCAAAUGAGACGAAGGAGACGACGUUGCAGAUUCACAUAACACAUGACCAAGGAAACACCCUAGUAGAAAACACUUAGACCAGCACCGGUCUACGUAGACAUUUGUUCACGCUAGCACAAUCUGCAUAUGGGUAACUGUCCGAGGCAAAAGUGACUCUGCUAAUCUUCUGCCGUGCAGCCGACGCGGACGGAGCAUGUCCAUGAAAAUGAGCACAAUCUGGCGUUGAACCCACCCAUGAAACUUUCCAAGGAGGCCAUGCAAGUGAAGCCCAGAGAGGAAUACAAACGGCGCUAUACAGGGAAGGAAGCGAAAGGAGCCCUGGAACAACAUAGAUGCGAGGGAAACCACUGUGAACGAGGCGGCGAGGGCCAUUAGGCUACGAAUUAAGGCUUGAGCGCAAGAACGUGGGCCUGGAUUGAUGGCUGAUACAGAUGGUCGAUCAAGAAGUGCCAAGAAGCAAUACGAUAGAAGGCUAAAGAUGGCGAUGAAGGUGGUAAUGGGUUGAGUGUCAAAAGGAGACUCUGGCUUGCCUUGGAACUUCACUUCAAUGAGAUUCACUAGGACUUGAAUAAUGAAGGUGAGAGUGCCAUGGUGGUGGGAACUAGUGAACAACGCAGGCCAAGUUUCGAUGCUUCUCCAUCGAGGAAGGUUUAGUGGCAUUUUAGUAUGUGUCGGGAAGAAAACGCAAAUAAUUAAUUACUUGGUUGUUACGACCAGCACUUACNNNNNNNNNNNNNNNNNNNNNNNNNNNNNNNNNNNNNNNNNNNNNNNNNNNNNNNNNNNNNNNNNNNNNNNNNNNNNNNNNNNNNNNNNNNNNNNNNNNNCCGGCGAUACGCUCGAGAGAGAGAGAGAGAGAGAGAGAGAGAGAGAGAGAGAGAGAGAGAGAGAGAGAGAGAGAGAGAGAGAGUAUUAGUAUCAUGAUUUGGACUCUAAACUUGUGUUUAGAUACCAUAUUAAACAAAUUAAAGACAUCAAGAAAAUUAUGCCUUCUUUGACACAUUUAUCACUAUAUCCAUUAUGAUAUAUUUACAUUAAACAUUAUUUUGUGAUACAAAAAACUUCAAAUUUAUAACACAUUUAUCCUCGGUUUGAUGUUCCAUCAAUGAGCACCAUUAAAAAUCUAUCUACUUGGAUGACAGAAGGUUAAUGAUGUUGACAUAGUGUCCAUAUGACCAAAGUGAAAUAAAAACAAUAUUAUCAUAGCUAAAAAAUCAUGUAAUGAAAUCUUGACAAAGUAUAAAUAUGCCAUAUUGAUAUAGCUUUGGAGUUUUUGAUGUUAUAGUAAAAAGUUUAGGGUAAUGUAUUAUAAUUAACAUAAUUUAAGGUUUUUGAUGUCCAAAAAAAUUUAGAAUGAAUCUGUCACAAUAAAUAUAAUUUCAAUUUUUUUAUGGCUUUUUCUCUAUUGUUUUUCCUAAAAACUUAAAUAAUUGGAAAACGACCAACAAUGGAUACGUACACAAUAUUUUUCUUCAAAAGUAAGGUUUAUUAAAUGACAAAAGAUCAUGCGUACUGCGUAGGGGUUGGGAUGGUGAUGUCCGCACAGAACAACAAGAAGCACGCCAGUACAGUCUUCUCAGGUUGAGAUUUUCUAUGGGUGUCUUUAUGGCUCCGAUCUUAAAAAGUAAGGUCUUCCAGGAGGAAACGAAGAAGUUCCGCUCUCCGUUCCUGGUAUAGUGCGUAUACAGGGGAAGCCGAUUUGGGGGAAAUUUCCUUUCAUUUCUUUAACCACCCCCUUCGAAAGUCAAAAGUAAGUGCACGUUGAUUAACUAGCUUUAAUCGCAAGGAUGGGGUUGAUAUUCUAAGAUGUAUUAUUUUGCAGGUGUCCCCACAACUUCACGUGGCUGAUCUGGAAUAGAUAAAGAUUGCCAUUCAUCAACGAAUACUUUUCUCAUCAAGUAGGCAUUUGAUUUGGUCUUCUACUUUUUGCAAUGGAUAUUGUCAAAAUUCUCCGCUGUGUGUUUAGUCAAUAUUUUUUUUUUUUUUCAUGUGCGUUUGGUGAUGGCAAGUUAUGACUUUACUUCAAGGGAUUUUGCCCAACACAUUACAUCAUCAUUGUCUUUUAUAGACAUUAGAAGGUUACAAACAUACAAGGACCAAACUCACGGAUUCUAAAACAAAUAAAGGCUCUGGAAAAUCGGGCAAUAAUUAUUCUUCGUGGUAUGAAUAGUGACAAUGAACAGUUGAAGUCAUAAAGAUUUGUUUUAGAAUUGGAUUAGCUCCAAUACCAUAGAAAAGCUUGAGCAUUUCCCGAUAGUGUUUAUUGAGAUGUUUUUUUUUUUUUCUGGAGAGAGUAAUAUUUUCUUUCAAAAAAUUCUCACACUAAUUGCCACAACCCUCAUUCAAUUGCAAAGGCUUGCCAAAUAAGACCCUAAACCGACUCCAAAAUUUAGAACACAACUAUAAUUUAUUAGGACUCAAAACACUUCGACAAUCAAGUUAGAUUGGAUCCUUUUUUAUAUUGGAAACCAAACACGUUUCCAUAUAAGAGUGCACCAAAAGGGGGAACAUAUGGCUUGACUUUUCCUUUCCUCAACUUUAUGUGACCAUUUACUACCAAAGUUCAUAUAAAUGAAACAUCACACCUCUCUUUGGUCUAAUUUGCCUUACCCUGAUGAAUUAAUAACACAGUUUUAAAGUAAACCUCCUCUUCAAUCCUUCCACCCCGCUUUGGAAAUGUUUUUCUUGGCUUAUCAAGCUUCAAUUAAUAAACCCCACCUUUUCCCCUCCUCUCAGCUACUCAUGUUAGUCAUGCUCAUCUUACUAACGACACAUUAACGACGUUAAUAGCUCUCUGAUCAUUGGUUUAACCUGCUCCAAAUCUUGACUCACAUCUGUUUUUACUUCACUAGUUGCUUCAUAGGAAAUGUUGCCAAGCUUGCAAGGCGACACUAUAAUGCUAGAGAUACCAGAUUUGUUUUCUAAAGUCGAUUCGCUAUACGGUGUGGAAUACUAUAAAAACAUAAUAAAAAUCAGUGGUCAUAGUCAAAUUUUAACCAUAAUCACCUCGUUUCAUUUAUAACCCGGAGAGAGAGCUAAGAAAUGGAUGAUUUUUUCAACUUCUGUUCCUUCGUGAAAAAAUGCCCGGUACCUUAUUCUCAGGUUGCAAAAGAUAUAUGAUUUUAAGCCAGUUAAUAUGAAGUACUCUUCUAGAAAAUUGAGUUCCCUUCUUGUUUCAGUUUGAAAGUAGUGAAAUAUCGUUUCAAGUUCUUUUUUUCUUUAAUUUUCAGAUUUUGAGAAUAAAGAUAGACUGAUUUUCUGGUUAUUAAUUUUGUUACUUUUGUUUUCACUUAAAUGAGAAGGUAUAUAUUAUCAAAUUUUCUAUCCGCCAUUGUUUUUCCUGCCAUUUUCGCAUAUGAUUUUCAUUCUUGAAAUUAUUUAUUUUCAUGCAAGUUGCCAUAAGAUUUCAUUCUUGAACAUAAAUGCAUUUUGUGAUUUUCUUGUAAGUUGGACUUUGCACGUAAGAUAUAUAGACACCAAGAGGCAUAGGAAAAUAGGAAAAGUAGAAUACAAACCAUUUCUCUUAAAACCUUAAAUUGUUAGGAAUGGAUCAACAAUGCAUAUAUAGCAAACUACUAAAUACCCGUCGCUGAUAAGUGAAUCAUUAAGAGAGAGUGUUGGGAUUUGAACUAUUGACCUUUAUUCUAAUACCAUACUAAACAAAUGGUUUUUCAGAGGAAUUUGAACUAUCAGGAAACGGAUCGACUAUGUACACUUGCACAGCAUAUUACCUAUAAGGUAGGGUCCAUUAGAUUACAUGUGAACUUGGGUUUGGGAUGGUCAUGUCCAGACAGAAGAAAAAGAAGCACGCUGAUACAAUUUUCUGAGCUUGAAAUUUUCUAGGUGUCUUUAUGCCUCUGGUCCCCCACUUAAAGAUUAGGGUCCGUCCAAUUACAUAUGGUCUUCCAAACAGGGAGUUUGAAAAUUCUGUUCCUAGGAGUGUGUGUAUGUAGUGAAGCCCGCUUUGUUGAAACUUCCCUUCUUUUCUUUAACUAACCCCGCACUAUCAACCCCAUUGAAAGUGGCAAGCAAGUCGACGUUGAUAAACUAGCUUUAAUUGAGAUCUUUACUCGAAAUUAUUAGAUGCCAUCCCAAGUUGAUGAGUUUGUUUCUAAGUUGCUCCUACGUUUUCACAUGGCAAAUGUAAAACAAACAAAAAUAUCAUUCGUCAGCUAAUACACUUCUUAUCAAGUGGGCAUUUGAUUUGUUCUUUAUUUUUGAGAUAAGCGUACUAGAAAUCUUAAAACUUAUCGUAAAAAUAUUAUUGAAUUCUAAAAUUUUCAAAAAAUAUAAUCAACUUCUCCAUUAAUUUUGUCCAAUUUAGCUUAUGAAAAACAAUGACAUGGCUUCUUCUAUUAUCUUCUCUUUCUACGUGGCUGUCAACAUAAAAUCAAGCAUGAAUCAAUGCACAAAACGACUCGUAUUUGCCCAAAAAUCUUGAUUUUUUCGCUCAAAACUUAAUAAAAUCCUAACUGCGAAUAGGUCGUGCUGGUAUCUGCUUUGAGGUUUGGACCGUAUCUUGUAAUUGCCUGGAAAUUCAUCCUUAGUUUCGUGCCCCAGUUUUCCACAACUGAAAUAGAGCCGCGGAAGACCUUCACAACAGAAUUUGAUCCACAGUGGAUUCUUGUGUUGACUGACAUCAAAUUCGAAUCGACACUUAUGAACUUAUGCUUAGUUCAUUUUUAAUGAUGGGACAGUGAAGAUACGAGCUCUGGUAAGGUUGCUUUCUGAUUGCAAAUCAAGGGAAACUUCCAUAGAUUUGCACCCAGAACCGAGCGGUGGUAAAAUGUUCCCUCAUAUGGGAUUGGGUUUAGGUUUACACGUAAAAAUCCAUGGAAUUUCCCUUCACUUUGCCUGGUAAAGUGGUGGGAAACUCCUCAUGCGCAGCAUCCCGAAAUAAAGGACGUAGCACGAGAUAAGCUCCCAACAGAGCCUAAGGAAUCCCGAGCUCAACUCCGAAGCUUAUCAGGCUCUUGUUCGAAGGUGAAGAGGAUAACAUUCACCAUCCUUCCUUCAACGCGUACCCAUCGAGAGGGGAGACCGGAAGCAGUGUGCAGGAGCCACGUUGAGGUCACCUUGUCACUGGCAAGUCCAGCGAGCCUCGCCAAACGCCGGCAGUAGCCGCCUUUGACUCCGAAGUGAGCAUGUACAUUUACAUAGAGAGAGAUAACCCGCCAAGGCUGCUGCAAUUGUAGGCCUUGCCAUUGGUCAGGGAGGGCUGUACGCGUGCUUAGAUUGUGAAGAGGGUAUGGCCCUCGCAUCAGAUCUUCUGCGAGCGAGGGACUCACUGCAUAAUGUUGGCGACGGGGGCGACCCUCGCCCAUUGGCCCAGAUUUCUUGCUCACUUGACUAAAUUGAUUUGUGAGCAAGGGACCCUCGAUUCUAAUUUGUCGGCAUCGAAUAUGACCCUAGCCCACUCACCCAGAUCUGUCGCGAGUGAGGGACCCUAGCUGCUCGUCUGACGCUGGUGCUGGCCGCAACCCUAACCCACUCGUGCAGACCUGCUGUAAGUAAGUCCCAACUUACUUAGAAGUGCCACAACUCUUGUGGGUGGCUGUUGAUGUUGAUAACCCUAUAAGGUUGCUAAAUGAGACCAAAAAUCAAUUCUAAAAUCCAAAAUCCGACUAUGAUUCAUUAGGAUUCAAGCACCUUGAGGAUCGAGUUAAACCAAAGCUUGCAGGGCGAUAUUAUAAUGGUAGAGAUGCCCGAAUUGUUUUCUAAAGUCAAUUCGCUAAAUGGUGUGGAAUACUAUAAAACCAUAAUGAAAACCAGUGGUCAUAAUCAAAUUUUAACUAUUACCAUCUCGUCUCAUUUAUAACACGGAGACAGCUGAGAAAUGGAGAAUUUUUUCAACUUUUGUUCUUUCCUGAAGAAUAUGCACGGUACCUUAUUCUCAGGUUGCCAAAGAUAUAUGUGAUUCCAAGCCAGUAAACAUGAAGGACUCUUCUAGAAAAUUGAGUUCUCUUCUUGCUUCAGUUUAAUGAAUAUCGUUUCAAGUUUUAUCUGCAGAUAAUUUCAGAAAAGCUACGCAGGUGCGGCAUGGACUCAGACCAACUUACGUCGACCCCCACUAUGGCUUCCUGGACACCUGGAGUCGAUCAACCCCUUUCACCACUGAUCCAGCGCUUGCAGAGCUCCUCAUUCCGGUCGCUGAAAACAUUUUGCUCGCCUCUAAUCCUUCUGUUGGAAUGCUAGUCUCUUAUGAGUCAAUUGCACUUCAAAGUCGAAUACUAUCUUUAUCUGCCUCUACUUGUGUCCCAACCAGUGACUCUUAUAUAGAAGAGAUUGCUCUUCAGCCCUAAAAAAAGAACAAAUAGACCUAGCACUAAAAAGAGAGAAAAAGCAAAGAACACGCAGUCAUAAAAUAGUUUCGCCCGUACUCAGUUUUCGGCUCCCGAUUGAAAGGACAAACAUUAUUGCAGUAUUAUAUUUGAAAUAAUGAACAGGCAAAUCAUGUACAGUUUACAAGUGGCAUAACUUUAAGAUUCUAGUACUCGUUGAUAUUGGUUGACAGUGUUCAUCACUAAGAAUCCCCCCGUGAUCGAUUUGCUCUUUUUGGUCCAUAAAAAAGGGGAUUUAUGUUUCGGGGACAAUGAAUUUCUGUCCCUACAUUAAGCAGAAGUCCCAUGAUUUUCUGUUCUCAGAAAACAAGUAUUUUCACUAAAUUGUGAAAAUGGUUCUAUAAGCAACUCGAGUAUUCCCAGAUUGACAAUUGACGAUUUAUCUAUGGAAUGUGAACUUGAUUUCCUGUACACAUGCCAUUUUCCUAACAUGGUUAGUGGAAGCUAUGAUCCGUGAUCACAAAAUGGAAGGGGUAUAUAUCCAUUUAUAGACUUGUGUAUGUUGGUCGAUGUGAAUAUUUGGAAAACUAAUACUCCUAUAGAGUCAAUGCGCAUCUCAUUGUUAAGUCCUUAGACUAGAGAUAGUAAAAUCCAUUUUAUUGCAGACCAAUAGGCGAAGCGAAUCAUAGAGCAUGAAAGUGGCAUCUAUGUCGAUUGAAGAGGCGUUCAAGGUUAAGUCCAAUUGUAGUAUGUUUGGCUUGGUCUACAGAAAUCUUGUUCUCGGAAUUUUAUGUUACAGGGACCCUCAUAAUGGGGAAUUAUUUUUGCCUAAACCUGGAUUUUCAGAAUAAUUAACAGUAUAUUCAUGUCUUUAGAAAUUGUAUCUUACAAAAAACCUGGUUUAUCAGGAUGAAUAACAGUAUGUUCUUGUUCUUAGAAUUUUAUAUUACAAGAACUGUAAAAUUGAGAAUUUCUUGCCUAAACCUAGAUUUAUGGACCGAGUGCAAGCACAAUUGUUGAUCUUAUGGGGCUAACAAAUGUGCUCACCAGAAACCCUAGUAAGCAAUGGUUGUGAUUAAUUUGGUCCACCUAGAAUUAGGACUAGGCAAGAAAUUCUCGGCGACCUGGUCAUUAGCACGUGGUACAACCAAAGGUAACUAAGAAAAGGAAAUUAAAACCCCACAAAGGUGCGAUGACAACAAAUACUAGGUAGGUCUUUUCCCCUGCUAAUGCAAAAGAUACGGAGGAGACAACGUUGCAAAUUCACACCACACAUGACCAAGGAAACACCCUACCAUAAAGCACUUAACCAGCACCGGUCUCCACUGUAAUUAAUUCCGUCCACCUAUAUCGGUCAACUUAGGCGUUUGUUCAUGCCGUCUGCAUUUGGGUAACCAUACGAGGCAAAAGUGGCCGUGGUAAUCUUCUGUUGUGCAGCCGAAACGGACGUAGCAAGUCCAUGAAAAAGAGCGCAAUCUGGCAUUGAACCCGCCCAUGAAGUUUUCGAAGGAGACCAUGCAAGUGAAGCCCAAAGAGCAAUACAAAUGGCACUACAAAGACACGUUUGGUAAUCAUUAUGUUCACGGGAACAUUCUUAAGCAUUUUAAGCCAUUUGGUAAUUGCCUAAUUUUUUUUUUCCGGAAUAGAAUUGUGUUUGGUACCAUUCUGAAAAUUUCUAAUCCAAAUUAUUUUCUUUUAAUUUUUUAAUAAUUUUAUUAUUUUCUUCUUCUUCUUCAUCUUAAGAACAAGAACAAAAAGAAAGAAAAGAAAAAAGAAAAAUUAGGUUGAUUUGAUUCUGGAAUUGUUUCCGAGAACAAAAAUAAUUUUUUUUUAUUUUUUAUUUUUACAUUUUGGUUGUGUUCUAAAUCUACUUUCGGGAAAAAAAAAAUAAAAAUUUAUUCCCAAAAAUAAAAGUUUUAUCAAACGGAUUUUUAUUUCAAAUUUACUCCCUACGAUAAAAGAAUAAAAAUUUUCACUAUUUAGUCGGUUGUCAUAGACGAAGUGAAAGGAGCCCAAGAACGACAACGAUGCGAGGGAAACCAACGAGAGCGAGGCAGUGAGGGUCAUGAGUCUUGGUACUAAGACCUGAGCGCAAGGACGUGAACCAGGAGUGAUGGCUGAUACAGAU
This 8611-nucleotide long non-coding RNA is filed under the name Eucalyptus grandis. RNAcentral's name for it is "long non-coding RNA (EGRA_LNC002439)". The record is from RNAcentral. Lineage: Eukaryota; Viridiplantae; Streptophyta; Magnoliopsida; Myrtales; Myrtaceae.